RNAcentral lists this ribosomal RNA (497 nucleotides) under uncultured bacterium. RNAcentral's name for it is "partial 16S ribosomal RNA". It matches the Rfam family "Bacterial small subunit ribosomal RNA", at positions 28 to 507 of the family's 1533-position model. The record is from RNAcentral.
GAUGAACGCUGGCGGCGUGCCUAAUACAUGCAAGUCGAGCGAACGGACGAGAAGCUUGCUUCUCUGAUGUUAGCGGCGGACGGGUGAGUAACACGUGGAUAACCUACCUAUAAGACUGGGAUAACUUCGGGAAACCGGAGCUAAUACCGGAUAAUAUUUUGAACCGCAUGGUUCAAAAGUGAAAGACGGUCUUGCUGUCACUUAUAGAUGGAUCCGCGCUGCAUUAGCUAGUUGGUAAGGUAACGGCUUACCAAGGCAACGAUGCAUAGCCGACCUGGGAGGGUGAGAGGCAACAGUAGAACGGAGACGCGGUCGAGAGACCGACGGGAGGAGACAGGAGGGAAUCUUCCGCAAUGGGAGAAAGCCGGACGGAGCAACAACGCGGGAGUGAUGAAGGUCUUCGGAUCGUAAAACUCUGUUAUGAGGGAAGAACAUAAGGGUACGUAACUGUGCACACCGUGAGGGGACCUAAUCAGAAAGCCACGGCUAACUACGUG